ACAAGUGUGAUUCCACAAACUGUACUUUCAUAAAUUGAAGCGGAACCAGAAAUAAAUCUUAUAUGACGACUCAGCAUUUCCAUUGAAACCCAAAUACAAUCGUCGAAGUAUGUCACUUAAUUGCGGUCAUAUAACUAAUUUCAACAGAGUAAGGGAGUCAAAUGAGCUUUUAAGAAGAAGAAUAUUUACACGUGUACGGCUUUUGAGUGAGUACCUUUUGAAAAAAAAAGUUGCUUUCAUUCGUUGCUUUUGAGGUCAGAACCCAAAUCCGAAAGAUCUUUUCGAAAAAAAGGCGUUGACAAAAGAGGA
This is a long non-coding RNA of Leptopilina boulardi, 309 nucleotides long. RefSeq lists it as uncharacterized. Lineage: Eukaryota; Metazoa; Arthropoda; Insecta; Hymenoptera; Figitidae. The transcript has 3 exons. The record is from RefSeq and is a predicted model, not a curated record.